RNAcentral lists this ribosomal RNA (896 nucleotides) under uncultured bacterium. RNAcentral's name for it is "bacterial SSU rRNA". It matches the Rfam family "Bacterial small subunit ribosomal RNA", at positions 60 to 987 of the family's 1533-position model. The record is from RNAcentral.
AGUCGACGAUGAAUCUUCUAGCUUGCUAGAAGUGGAUUAGUGGCGCACGGGUGAGUAAUGCAUAGGUUAUGUGCCCUUUAGUCUGGGAUAGCCACUGGAAACGGUGAUUAAUACUGGAUACUCCCUACGGGGGAAAGUUUUUCGCUAAAGGAUCAGCCUAUGUCCUAUCAGCUUGUUGGUGAGGUAAUGGCUCACCAAGGCUAUGACGGGUAUCCGGCCUGAGAGGGUGAUCGGACACACUGGAACUGAGACACGGUCCAGACUCCUACGGGAGGCAGCAGUAGGGAAUAUUGCUCAAUGGGGGAAACCCUGAAGCAGCAACGCCGCGUGGAGGAUGAAGGUUUUAGGAUUGUAAACUCCUUUUGUUAGAGAAGAUUAUGACGGUAUCUAACGAAUAAGCACCGGCUAACUCCGUGCCAGCAGCCGCGGUAAUACGGAGGGUGCAAGCGUUACUCGGAAUCACUGGGCGUAAAGAGUGCGUAGGCGGGGUAAUAAGUCAGAUGUGAAAUCCUGUAGCUUAACUACAGAACUGCAUUUGAAACUGUUACUCUGGAGUGUGGGAGAGGUAGGUGGAAUUCUUGGUGUAGGGGUAAAAUCCGUAGAGAUCAAGAGGAAUACUCAUUGCGAAGGCGACCUGCUGGAACAUUACUGACGCUGAUGCACGAAAGCGUGGGGAGCAAACAGGAUUAGAUACCCUGGUAGUCCACGCCCUAAACGAUGGAUGCUAGUUGUUGCCUUGCUUGUCAGGGCAGUAAUGCAGCUAACGCAUUAAGCAUCCCGCCUGGGGAGUACGGUCGCAAGAUUAAAACUCAAAGGAAUAGACGGGGACCCGCACAAGCGGUGGAGCAUGUGGUUUAAUUCGAAGAUACGCGAAGAACCUUACCUAGGCUUGACAU